RNAcentral lists this long non-coding RNA (316 nucleotides) under Nicotiana benthamiana. RNAcentral's name for it is "long non-coding RNA (NBEN_LNC026922)". Lineage: Eukaryota; Viridiplantae; Streptophyta; Magnoliopsida; Solanales; Solanaceae. The record is from RNAcentral.
UUGUAUUAGUCAGAAUCUGAUCAUCAUAACCAAAUUGACCGACGCCCCACCUAAGUAUUCGGGCACUGAAAGUUAAUAGAGCCCACUCUAUUUUUCCUCUCUGACAUCCGACGAGUCGGUAAGAGUGGCGCCUAAAAUCAUGAGUAAGACACAUUGACGGUAAGAGGACAUUGAGUCAAGCAAAGGGCAAAGAUGCCUUGACUAUAUAUAGCCAAGGAAAGCUUUCAACAAGGGGGCUCCUCCUCCUAUCUCUUUUUAAAAAACAAAAAGCUCUCUUCUUGAUAGAGAAGAAGUGGCCUCUAAGAAAAUAUGUAAA